AUUGAACGCUGGCGGCAUGCCUUACACAUGCAAGUCGAACGGUAACAGAUUAAGCUGACGAGUGGCGAACGGGUGAGUAAUGUAUCGGAACGUGCCCAGUCGUGGGGGAUAACUGCUCGAAAGAGCAGCUAAUACCGCAUACGACCUGAGGGUGAAAGCGGGGGAUCGCAAGACCUCGCGCGAUUGGAGCGGCCGAUAUCAGAUUAGGUAGUUGGUGAGGUAAAGGCUCACCAAGCCGACGAUCUGUAGCUGGUCUGUGAGGACGACCAGCCACACUGGGACUGAGACACGGCCCAGACUCCUACGGGAGGCAGCAGUGGGGAAUUUUGGACAAUGGGCGCAAGCCUGAUCCAGCCAUGCCGCGUGCGGGAAGAAGGCCUUCGGGUUGUAAACCGCUUUUGUCAGGGAAGAAAAGGUUCUGGCUAAUACCUGGGACUCAUGACGGUACCUGAAGAAUAAGCACCGGCUAACUACGUGCCAGCAGCCGCGGUAA
Molecule: ribosomal RNA, 493 nt
Filed under: uncultured bacterium
Lineage: Bacteria
Description: partial 16S ribosomal RNA
Rfam family: Bacterial small subunit ribosomal RNA
Source: RNAcentral